UCUGUGGUGCACUUUCUCCUUUGGCUCAUUUCUCAGAAGUCUCUUCCUACUCCUCCUGACUGCUCUCCUCAGCGUGGACGUGGACACGUGUCGUUUUGUCCUGUUCUUCACAAGCAAAGGCUGAGUUGCUGCCAUAGGCCCUGCUCACAAGACCAGCGGGGCUCAGAACUCUCCAUCUCCCCCAGAUGACAGGAGGGGCUUCUUCCCUCCAGCGUUUUGUAUGGUACCCAAGUGCAGCAUCAAGUGACUGCUCCCCUCCUGUGAAGGGGGCCUCCAUCCACCUUCAGACAGAAACUCACUCCAGGCAACCAAGAAGCCAGACCUCACCAGGCAUUUUUGUUUUCUUCCAUUUCUCCAUUUUGUACCAAAACCAGAAAAACAAGCUACCUGACAGCUACACACACCUGAGAUCAUAGGAAAUGCCUGGAAGGAAGCUUCAGGUCAGGAAUCUUCACAGAGGUCUAGGAACAGCAAGGAUCCUGUGACCGCUUCCGAGGGGUGAUUCUGAGCACACAGCUUACGGGAAACCCAGUGAUGUUCACUAAAAUUGUAAAGCUGUUCAGAGCUCUGCAGAUGCAGCUUGGUGGUAAAGCACUUGUCCAGGUGCACAGGCCCCAACACCAGAGCUCCAGCACCAGAAGAAUAAAGCAGCAAAGGGAACAAUCUGACUCAGUGCCUACACGUUCAAGAAUCCUCCCCUUAAAAAUAAACACCACCAGAAUCGAUUUCUCAUCUGUCUGUCUAUCCUCCCUCAUGUCUCAUCUAUCGUCUAUGUAUCUAAUAUCUAUCUACAUUCUGUUAACUAUCAUCUAUAUUUCUAUUAUUUAAUUAUUGUCUUCUAUCUAGGUAUCUAUCAUCUACCUAUCCACUGUCUACUUAUUUAUCCAUCAAUCUACCUUCUGUGCCUGCUUGUACACACACACACACACACACACACACACACACACACACACACACACACACACACACACACGAGUCACAUAUGCAUUGCACACCCUCCUGUUUGAACGUUGUCUAUAAAUCAAGGUUUUGGGAAAAUCAGGUGCCAGCAGUAAGGAAAAGCUGAAAUAUGGAGACACAUCCUUCCAAUGUCCCUGCUGUACAAUUAAAUGAAAUCCUACAGAUGAAGGACUUGGCAGCUACAAAUACACAUAGGAAAUGUUCUUCUUUAUGAUAUGUCUGUUAUCUUUAUUUAUACUUACAGAGUUUGGCUUUUGUGCAACCCAUACAAAGAUGUAAAGGAUCCAUGUGUAAGAUUCAUCUUGAAGAACAAGACCCUUUCAGUGACCAUCUCAGGGAGACAGGCCUGCAGCCGAGGAGGAGGCAGAGACAUCUGUCCUUGCUUGUGACGUGUCUUUCUUAAGGUGGAUGGUCCCCACAGUGUAAUACUUUAUUAUCCUUCAAGCACUUCUGGACGCCUAAAACAUUUCCUAAUUUUUCAGAGUACUGAGCUCUGAAACCGUAAGAAGCCCUUGUCAUCAUACUGCACAGAGUCACCAUAGGGACCGGAGGGCCUACCACCCUUCCCCCAAGUACCGAGCUUCCUAUGUUGGUCUACAUACCACCCUCUAUCCUAGAGAAAAAUUCUAACUUUCAGUCAUUGUGAUUUGAGAAAUUUCAUUACAGUUUUUAUGGGUUGUUUUUGCUCUUUA
Long non-coding RNA from Peromyscus leucopus (white-footed mouse), 1652 nucleotides. RefSeq lists it as uncharacterized. The record is from RefSeq and is a predicted model, not a curated record. The transcript is spliced from 2 exons. NCBI's taxonomy places the organism in Eukaryota, Metazoa, Chordata, Mammalia, Rodentia, Cricetidae.